CAUUUGUAAACUACCAAAUCUGUUAAAUGUCCUAAGCUUGUAUUUGAUAUUCCAGGUUGAAUAAAACAUUACUUUGGCUGCACCUUCCUUUCUGGCCUUUCCUGGACACUUGGCCUCCUGGAGCACAGUUAUGUUGGGGAAGCAAAGAGGCAGAGGUGUAGAGGAGAACAUCUUUGAGGAUAAGCCAUCAUGGUGAGGUGGGAGAGCAAAAACAUGGAAGGCACCUGGGUCCCGGAUGACAUCGCUAAGCCACGAAAUUGAUCAGCCCUGGAGCAGCUUUGUAGCUGGACUUCUUAAAAGCUCAAGGUGCAGCCAUAGGGAAGGAGAAAAUUCCACGGAGGAAAUGAUUUGGAGUAAUAUGGAGAUGGAAAAGGUCCCCUCCAAGGCAUCUAUGGAAAGAAUUCACAGGACGGGGCACCUGGAUGGCUCAGUGGGUUAAAGCCUCUACUUUCGGCUCAGGUCACGAUCCCAGGGUCCUGGGAUUGAGCCCCC
Molecule: long non-coding RNA, 492 nt
Organism: Lutra lutra (Eurasian river otter)
Lineage: Eukaryota; Metazoa; Chordata; Mammalia; Carnivora; Mustelidae
Exons: 4
Source: RefSeq, a predicted model, not a curated record